Non-coding RNA from Pteropus alecto (black flying fox), 119 nucleotides. NCBI's taxonomy places the organism in Eukaryota, Metazoa, Chordata, Mammalia, Chiroptera, Pteropodidae. The record is from Rfam.
GUCUACGGCCACACUGCCCUGAACACACCCGAUCCCGUCUGAUCUCGGAAGCUAAGCAGGGUCGGGCCUGGUUAGUACUCAGAUGGGAGACUGUCCAGGAAGACCAGGUGCUGUAGGUG